AUCAAAGCAUAGAUAAGCGCUUUGAGUAGAUGAGUAGCCGAAAAGGACAUAGGCACGAGAUCUGGGUUCCAUUUUGUGUGAGGUGUAGGGCCGAAGCCAAGGGAAGGCUUUGAGUAGUAGAGUAGCCGAAGAAGACACAGGAUCUGGGUUCCAUUUUGUGUAAGGUGUAGGGCCGAAGCCAAGGGAAGCAUUGACAGCCAAAGACACGCAGUUUGGCAAGGUUGGGGCGCCUAUGGAAGAGAGACUCAAAGGAGGAGAUCAUCGAGAGAUUUGUCUUGGGUAGACGAUUUCUAGGCAAGCCGGACCAAUCGAUACUCACAACCUAAUCACCAAUCCUAUUAUCGAGUAACAACAUGAAAUUAGCAGUUUGCCAAGUCUAUUAGCCAAAUAAAUAAAGAAAAAGUAAAAUAGCGAGCGAGAACAUUCUUGAUAGAAG
This 436-nucleotide long non-coding RNA is filed under the name Nicotiana benthamiana. RNAcentral's name for it is "long non-coding RNA (NBEN_LNC029477)". The record is from RNAcentral. Lineage: Eukaryota; Viridiplantae; Streptophyta; Magnoliopsida; Solanales; Solanaceae.